RNAcentral lists this non-coding RNA (28 nucleotides) under Mus musculus (house mouse). Lineage: Eukaryota; Metazoa; Chordata; Mammalia; Rodentia; Muridae. The record is from RNAcentral.
UUCUGAUGAUUCUGGAUUCCCCUCUUUG